AGAGUUUGAUCAUGGCUCAGAGUGAACGCUGGCGGCAGGCCUAACACAUGCAAGUCGAGCGGCAGCGCGGGGCAACCUGGCGGCGAGCGGCGGACGGGUGAGGAAUACAUCGGAAUCUACCCUGUCGUGGGGGAUAACGUAGGGAAACUUACGCUAAUACCGCAUACGACCUGAGGGUGAAAGCAGGGGACCGCAAGGCCUUGCGCGACUGGAUGAGCCGAUGUCCGAUUAGCUAGUUGGUGAGGUAACGGCUCACCAAGGCGACGAUCCGUAGCUGGUCUGAGAGGACGGCCAGCCACACUGGGACUGAGACACGGCCCAGACUCCUACGGGAGGCAGCAGUGGGGAAUAUUGGACAAUGGGCGAAAGCCUGAUCCAGCGACGCCGCGUGUGUGAAGAAGGCCUGCGGGUUGUAAAGCCUUUCGAUGGGAACGAAAUGUGCCGGGCUAAUACCCCGGCAAGCUGACGUUACUCAAUGAAGAAGCACCGGCUAACUCUGU
RNAcentral lists this ribosomal RNA (500 nucleotides) under uncultured bacterium. RNAcentral describes it as "bacterial SSU rRNA". It matches the Rfam family "Bacterial small subunit ribosomal RNA", at positions 8 to 506 of the family's 1533-position model. The record is from RNAcentral.